This 229-nucleotide ribosomal RNA is filed under the name uncultured bacterium. Its description in RNAcentral is "partial 16S ribosomal RNA". It matches the Rfam family "Bacterial small subunit ribosomal RNA", at positions 568 to 796 of the family's 1533-position model. The record is from RNAcentral.
UAUGUAGGUGGCCCUGUAAGUCGGAUGUGAAAUCCUUUGGCUCAACCAAAGAACUGCAUUCGAUACUGCUUGGCUUGAGUUUCGGAGAGGAGAGUGGAAUUCCCAGUGUAAGAGUGAAAUCUGUAGAUAUUGGGAGGAACACCAGUGGCGAAAGCGACUCUCUGGCCGUAAACUGACACUGAAAUACGAAAGUUAGAGGAGCAAACAGGAUUAGAUACCCUGGUAGUCC